Molecule: transfer RNA, 74 nt
Filed under: Alphaproteobacteria bacterium
Lineage: Bacteria; Pseudomonadati; Pseudomonadota; Alphaproteobacteria
Also listed under: 1 other name
Description: tRNA-Gln
Rfam family: tRNA
About the family: Transfer RNA (tRNA) molecules are approximately 80 nucleotides in length.
Source: RNAcentral
UGGGCUAUCGUCUAAUGGUAGGACAGCGGAUUCUGAUUCCGUCAGUCUUGGUUCGAGUCCAGGUAGCCCAGCCA